AAGAACCCUUCUCCCAUGAACCCUAAUGAGCACCGCCCUAAAAUUCACCAUUGCCGGUGGCGGCGCCACCUUCAAGCUCUCCCAAAAUCACAUCCCUUAAUAACCUCGACCCCCUCAAUCCAAAUAUACAACUAUUGGCCGUCGAAUAUCAAUCAAGCACUCCAGAAAUCAAAUCGAAAUUCACGGUUGAGUUUCAAGUUCGUCCAAACAAACCCAAAUUGGUACUUGGCAGUGUAUGGACCUUCUCCACCUCAAACCCAUGGUCGUUUCACUUCAACCCUCAACAAGACGCCCUCAAUUCCAUCUAGGGUUCGUGAGUUUAGCCUAGUUUGGGAAUUUUUCUUACGGUGAGUCUUCCUUUAUUUUAUGACUCUAGUUUAUAAGUUUAAUAGUCUCGUCUUCUUCUCCUCCUUAUCUGUCAAUAGGGUCAAUUGUAGGAAUUGUUCUUAGACAGUUUGAUUUCAUACCUUUUGAGUUUAGGCAUGUUGAUUAGCUUGAGUCUCGUUUAUUCUUUAGUUAUUAGUUUGCUUCAGCAUUAGGAGUAAGUUUAAAUCUAGAAGUAAGUUUAAAUUUCUAAUUUACUGUUAGCUUAAUUAGUCAGUAGGAUUAGUUGUUUAUCAACCAUUUUAACAUCAUUCCUAGAUAAUAUUAGUUGAAUAAGUCGUGUUAAAAAUAUGCAUGUUGAAUGCUUACCUGCUGUUCUAUUUCUUCUGGUUUAAUUAUUGUUUCUCUGUUUACUGUUAGCUUAGGUCGAUUCUCUUUCUUAAUUACUGUAGCUUGUUAAUAAGUUUGGGUUUAGUAGUUAUUCAGACUUAUUUAAAGUUGGGACUUGGAAUUGGUUUCAAUUAGGGCUAUCUGUGCAUCUUAGUGUUAAUGAACAGUUAGGUUGGUUAUAGCUGAACAGUUAUGUAGUUAACCUUUGUUUGUAUUGUUAAGGGUUGAGGUUUGGUAAGGUUAGGAGUAGUCAGUAAUUUCAGGGGGGUUUCAGGGGCUUUUUAGGGAUAGCAAAGGGUAGAAUCUUUAGAGUAGUUAACCUUAGUUAGUUUUGUUAAGGGUUGAGGUUUGGGUAAGGUUAGGUAUAGUCAGUAAUUUCAGGGGGGUUUCAGGGGCUUUUUAGGGAUAGAAAAGGGUAGAAUCUAUAGGAUUUGUAAUUUUUAUAGCAGGGGAAGGGUAGUUUACGAAUUGUCUUGCUCAAAGAGUGCCCUAGAGGCUUCUACAAUAGGACUAGUAUGUAGUUUUCAGUAGACAUUGGGUACUUACUUGAGUAGCAAGUCAUAAAAUAAGAGUUUUAUGCUGAGAAUAAUUAGUGGCUGUGAGUGUAUAGAAAAAUCCGAGGGCUGCCCUAUUUGGCUCCUAUAUAAGGGCACUAUUUGCUUUGAGAAAGGGGUAUUGAAUUUUCCGCUAAAAAAUUACACAAGAAAUCUGUUUUUCUUUUUAUUUUUAGCUUCAGAAUAGUUUCAACAUUCAAAUACAAAAACUACCCCAAAAAUACAUACAAAAAUAGAAAACAACAAAAAAUUUUGCACUGUUUCAUUGAUUGCGAGCAUAUUCUGGAUAUUCUUUAGAGUUCUACAUUAUAGCUUGGUCUGGGGGCUUGUUUUGAAUUGGAUUUGGUUUAUUUCUGCUGGUUUGUGGUUUUGCUGCAUUUACAAAUUGCUGGGUUUAUAUUUGGCACUUCUGGGUUUAUUAUGGCUAUUGGAUUUCUGGACUUUUGAAUUAGAUUGUGCACUGUUGUUUGUUGCUGCUCAAGUCUGUUGCUGACCUCCUUUGUUUCUGUUUGAAAUUUUUAUCCAGGUACACCCCUGAAGCUUUAUUGAUGUAGAAUUUCCUUUGAUAGUGGAAUGAGAAAAAGACGAUUUGCUAGUUAUGAAUUGGAAUCCCUAUUUGUGUUUAAUUAAAUUUUAGUUGAAGUUAUUUAGUAGUCUCUUAAGCUCAUUUGAUGUUCAUAUUGAAAUUAUGGAAGAUUGUAUGUGACUGAGAUCUAUAAUGAGG
This 1992-nucleotide long non-coding RNA is filed under the name Nicotiana benthamiana. RNAcentral's name for it is "long non-coding RNA (NBEN_LNC016649)". Lineage: Eukaryota; Viridiplantae; Streptophyta; Magnoliopsida; Solanales; Solanaceae. The record is from RNAcentral.